This 298-nucleotide unclassified non-coding RNA is filed under the name uncultured fungus. RNAcentral describes it as "partial contains 5.8S ribosomal RNA, internal transcribed spacer 2, and large subunit ribosomal RNA". The stretch from base 1 to 52 matches the Rfam family "5.8S ribosomal RNA", at positions 103 to 154 of the family's 154-position model. Lineage: Eukaryota; Fungi. The record is from RNAcentral.
AACGCACCUUGCGCUCCUUGGUAUUCCGAGGAGCAUGCCUGUUUGAGUGUCAUUAAAUUCUCAACCUAACCACUUUGUUGUUGGUUAAGGCUUGGAUGUGGGGGUUGCGGGCUUCACAGAAGUCGGCUCUCCUAAAAUGCAUUAGUGGAACCUUUUGUUGACCUGUUUCCUGGUGUGAUAAUUAUCUACACUGCGGACGGUCAGCGAUUCUAAUGGGGCUCUGCUUCUAACUUGUUUCUUAACGGGAACACUUUGACGAUUUGACCUCAAAUCAGGUAGGACUACCCGCUGAACUUAA